RNAcentral lists this ribosomal RNA (427 nucleotides) under uncultured bacterium. RNAcentral's name for it is "partial 16S ribosomal RNA". It matches the Rfam family "Bacterial small subunit ribosomal RNA", at positions 355 to 774 of the family's 1533-position model. The record is from RNAcentral.
UGGGGAAUAUUGCACAAUGGGCGCAAGCCUGAUGCAGCCAUGCCGCGUGUGUGAAGAAGGCCUUCGGGUUGUAAAGCACUUUCAGCGAGGAGGAAGGGUAGUGUGUUAAUAGCACAUUGCAUUGACGUUACUCGCAGAAGAAGCACCGGCUAACUCCGUGCCAGCAGCCGCGGUAAUACGGAGGGUGCAAGCGUUAAUCGGAAUUACUGGGCGUAAAGCGCACGCAGGCGGUGUGUUAAGUCAGAUGUGAAAUCCCCGCGCUUAACGUGGGAACUGCAUUUGAAACUGGCAAGCUAGAGUCUUGUAGAGGGGGGUAGAAUUCCAGGUGUAGCGGUGAAAUGCGUAGAGAUCUGGAGGAAUACCGGUGGCGAAGGCGGCCCCCUGGACAAAGACUGACGCUCAGGUGCGAAAGCGUGGGGAGCAAACA